Molecule: transfer RNA, 71 nt
Filed under: Marmota monax (woodchuck)
Lineage: Eukaryota; Metazoa; Chordata; Mammalia; Rodentia; Sciuridae
Description: tRNA.Ala
Rfam family: tRNA
About the family: Transfer RNA (tRNA) molecules are approximately 80 nucleotides in length. Their secondary structure includes four short double-helical elements and three loops (D, anti-codon, and T loops). Further hydrogen bonds mediate the characteristic L-shaped molecular structure. tRNAs have two regions of fundamental functional importance: the anti-codon, which is responsible for specific mRNA codon recognition, and the 3' end, to which the tRNAs corresponding amino acid is attached (by aminoacyl-tRNA synthetases). tRNAs cope with the degeneracy of the genetic code in two manners: having more than one tRNA (with a specific anti-codon) for a particular amino acid; and 'wobble' base-pairing, i.e. permitting non-standard base-pairing at the 3rd anti-codon position.
Source: RNAcentral
GGGGUUGUGGCUCAGCGGUAGAGCACUCACCUAGCAUGUGUGAGGUCCUGGGUUCCAUCCUUAGCACCACA